GACGAACGCUGGCGGCGUGCUUAACACAUGCAAGUCGAACGAAGUGGCGAACGGGUGAGUAACGCGUAAUCAACCUGCCCUUCAGAGGGGGACAACAGUGGGAAACGACUGCUAAUACCGCAUAAUGAAGGAGGGGAUUGCGUCUGAGUAGCUAGUUGGAGGGGCAACGGCCCACCAAGGGGAUGAUCAGUAGCCGGUCUGAAGGGAUGAACGGCCACAUUGGGACUGAGACACUGCCCAGAUUCCUACGGGAGGCAGCAGUGGGUAAUCUUCCGCAAUGGACGAAAGUCUGACGGAGCAACGCCGCGUGAGUGAUGACGGCCUUCGGGUUGUAAAGCUCUGUUAAUCGGGACGCGGUACCGGAAUAGAAAGCCACGGCUAACUACGUGCCAGCAGCCGCGGUAAUUC
This 408-nucleotide ribosomal RNA is filed under the name uncultured bacterium. RNAcentral describes it as "partial 16S ribosomal RNA". It matches the Rfam family "Bacterial small subunit ribosomal RNA", at positions 28 to 526 of the family's 1533-position model. The record is from RNAcentral.